CAAUAGAUACCCGGGUAGUCCACGCCGUAAACGAUGAGUACUAGCUGUAUGGGGUAUCGACUCCCUGUGUAGCGAAGCUAACGCGAUAAGUACUCCGCCUGGGGACUACGGCCGCAAGGCUAAAACUCAAAGGAAUUGACGGGGCCCGCACAAGCAGCGGAGCGUACGGUUUAAUUCGAAGCUACGCGAAAAACCUUACCAGGGUUUGACAUGGCAUCGACCGGUGAUGAAAGUCGCCUUCCCUUCGGGGCGGUGUCACAGAUGCUGCAUGGCUGUCGUCAGCUCGUGCCGUGAGGUGUUGGGUUAAGUCCCGCAACGAGCGCAACCCUCGUCGUGUGUUGGAUCUUUCACACGAGACUGCCCGGUGCAACCGGGAGGAAGGCGGGGAUGGAUGUCAAGGUCAGGCAUGGCUCUUACACCCUGGGCUACUCGCACGCUACAAUGGGCAGUACAGACCGUUGCAAAACCGCGAGGUGGAGCUAAUCGGACAAAGCUGUCCUCAGUACGGAUUGCAGGCUGCAACUCG
RNAcentral lists this ribosomal RNA (526 nucleotides) under uncultured bacterium. RNAcentral's name for it is "bacterial SSU rRNA". It matches the Rfam family "Bacterial small subunit ribosomal RNA", at positions 776 to 1314 of the family's 1533-position model. The record is from RNAcentral.